AUUUAAAUAGUUUAUUUUAAAAUAUUAAAUUGUGAAUUUAAUGAUGUUAUUUUACUUUAAAUA
This 63-nucleotide transfer RNA is filed under the name Ptilonyssus chloris. RNAcentral's name for it is "tRNA-His". The record is from RNAcentral. Lineage: Eukaryota; Metazoa; Arthropoda; Arachnida; Mesostigmata; Rhinonyssidae.